GUUGGGCCCAAAACAGCUGAAACUUAGAAGGAGAAAAAAAAUAAAGAGAGGUAGUCUAUCAGAAAGAACACAGAACAACAAUACACUCUCUCUCCUCAUUCGCGACGACUAUUACCAGAUCGUCUCCCUACAUCUUCUCGGUCUUCCUAGUGCUCUCUUUUGGUGAUCGAAAUUCAUGGAAGGCCCUCGAUUUAUCAUUCUCAAAUUCUGGCUUUUGCCCUCUCGCGCUCUCUCUCUCAAUUUCUUUUGAAAUUAGAUACCCAUAUGGAGACUUCUCCCCAAAGUAUCUCGAUCCGUCGUAUCUUUAUUCAACCACUCUCUCACGCUAUUCUUCUGGUUUAGCAAGCGUUUCGACAGGCGAUUUGGUUUUGGGCAAUGGGCUAUGGUAAUACCUUUCCAGAUCUGGUUUUUCUUUUGGUGAGGGUGUGGAAAUUUAACUUUUUUUGAAUUGGUCAGAUCUGAUAAUCAAGAUCAGAGAACUUAGGUAUUUCAAUCGUGGUGUGGUUUAGCUAGUACUGGCACUAAUUGUCUGUUUCCAUCUAUCAUUCCCCUAUCCUCUGAAAUUGCUUUUUUUUUUUUCUUUCUUUUCUUAUGAAAGAAAAAAAAAAGAAUGUUUGUCCCCUUUGAAUCUGUAUCUGAAGCUAAACACAUACAAAUCUACAUGAAGGUAAAGUCAAUAUUUUUGUCUUAGUGUUGCUUCCUUUUCUGUACUAUAUGAGUUUUUUUUUCUUUGAACUUGGCAGUGUAUGUGUAUGGGGCUUUGAAUGGAGGUGCCCUUGAGGAAUCAAUUACAGCCUAGAAAAUUUGGUGGAGUUCACAGGUUUGAAAUUUUCAAACACUUGCCAUGAAUUUACGUGGAAGCAAACUGCUGGGAUUGAAACGCAACUCUUGAACAGAAUUCUCUCAAGGAAUGAAAGAUCCAAAUCUUGAUUGAAAUCUAAGGACACAAAAAAGAAGAAGGGUCAUUGAUCAGUGGUAGGGUUGUGAAUGGUUAUGGUGGUGGCCGAAGCACACCUUUAGAUAAACAAAAACCCACAGUUGUUCAUCAAAAGCCAGGACCCCAUCAAACCAUGUUUGAUCUACUUCCAAAUGAGAUUGUGGAACAUAGUUAUUCAUGUGCACUUGAGAGGUCGUUCUUAUAUCAUGGCCGUAUGUGUAGACUUCAAAUAGUACAUUGGUUCAUGCUAUGAGUAGCUUUACAAAAGUUUAAGAGGAAGGAAAUCUGAAAGGUGGAGCGAAGGUAAAAAGGAUUCAUGAAGAAGCAUGAGUUAUGGAAGUUCUGAAAAAGCUCAUUACAGAAACCAUGCCAUUCUUCCCUUACAGAUAAGUGGCUGUAAGUUAAGUUCAAAUGAUGAGAGGCCAAGUAUGUAUGUCUCUUGUCAUCUAGGAUUACAUAACAUUAGAACACUUAUAAGUAGGAAUUAAUUACUGGAUUGUUCUUAUAGUCCAAGUAUAUUGUAACGAGUAAAAGAUACAAUGACAUUUGUUUUGGGAUUGUAAAGAUUAUUUGUUUGUAAAUGUCUUCUUUUUGUUUCAAGGAAUUUUUUUUUUUUGUGUUCU
RNAcentral lists this long non-coding RNA (1560 nucleotides) under Rosa chinensis. Its description in RNAcentral is "sRNA RchiOBHm_Chr1g0326511". The record is from RNAcentral. Lineage: Eukaryota; Viridiplantae; Streptophyta; Magnoliopsida; Rosales; Rosaceae.